GUAACCCUGCCCUCGAAAGCACCUCGGCCCAAUCCAAUCCCCCGCACGCCGCAACCUUCCCUCCCUCCUCGAUCUCUCUCCCUCGGCCGCCACGAACCCUAGCUCCCUUUCCUACGAUCCCGUGGUCGCUGCCGCUGCUCCAUCCGACCUCCCUCAUCAGCCGCCGCCGACACUACGGCUCCUCCAUCCACCGACUCUGUCUGUGCAAGCGACCAGUUUCCUUCCGCCCCGACCUUCUCCACUGUCUCCCAGUUCAUCAUCCGUCCCUUGCUGCUCGAGGUGCUCAUCUGCCCAUGCCGCGAGGAAGCAACGUGAGGAGGAGAGACCUCGUCUCGAGAAGCCGCGGGAGGAGGGGCUCAAGCAGAGAAGAGCAGAUGCCAGCCAGGUAGUCGGCUUGGCUCGACGCCGUCCUUCGUGUCCGGGCCGCGGCAGACCCUAGCGCCGUCCUUCAGGUGUCUUCACGGCAGCAGGUCCGCAUAUCUGCACUACAAGCUGGACCAUAUAGAAUGAUCCAAUGAUAUGAUCCUGCUGUGUUCUAAUGAAUAGAUUGGUCAAAGGAUCUGUUUAUAGACAACAGGCAUAUAUUUGUACAAAGAUCAUAUUAUUUCGAUGCCCAUAUGAAGUUGGUGGUUCAUGCAGACCCAAGGGUGCACUGACAGAAGAUAUCAGAGGAGCAGAGGAAAAUGCAAGUGUGUAUGUGUGAAAAAUUAUUGGUUUAACUCAAGGAUGCUGAGGAAAUCCUCGAAGGCAUAAAGACCACACAGACACUUACUUUUUUUAUGGUUUUUCUUCGCAGCUGAUGGCAAGCUCCUUUCUUGCUAAUUGUGAUUUCUUUUGUACAUGGCCUCUCACCAGAGUCAAGGAUGUCGAGGUCUCCUGCUUGCUCUGGUUCAAACCUUUUAUGCUCUGUUUGGCCUGUAACUUGUAUUGCCUUAUUGAAAAGAAGGCCUCCUCGGACAUUAAGAAGGUAAAACUAGGUAGCAAUGGAAGUGCUCCGUUCAAAAACAAUAACUUGGCAGAAGCUCUACAUAUGCAAAUGGAGGUUCAGACACAGCUCCAUGAACAGCUAUAGGUCAAGAGCCAUGAAUCGGAGCAAGGCAUCACACUCUAGCUCUGAGAAGGAAAAGACAGAGAUAGAUCAGUGUUCUGCUCCGAAGCAAAAACAUUUGGCAUGUAAUAAUGAACUGUAGUUUACCACAAUCUCUCUAAAACAGGCCUACCUAUUACCCGUCCAUUGCUUGCCUUUUUUAGGACGUAUGACUCAGUCGUAUAUAUUUACAUUCGCGUUGUUUAGUUGUGGUUUGUAUGCUUGAAAAUACGUUUUAACCGAGCUUGAAAAUUCUUAUGUGCAGUGAAAUUGUAUCUAACACUUUGUAAAGAACAAAUGAAACACGUUU
Molecule: long non-coding RNA, 1397 nt
Organism: Triticum dicoccoides
Lineage: Eukaryota; Viridiplantae; Streptophyta; Magnoliopsida; Poales; Poaceae
Exons: 8
Source: RefSeq, a predicted model, not a curated record